GAUGAACGCUGGCGGCGUGCCUAACACAUGCAAGUCGAACGAAGCGCUUUCUUUUGAUUCUUCGGAUGAAGAAGACUGUGACUGAGUGGCGGACGGGUGAGUAACGCGUGGGCAACCUGCCCUGUACAGGGGGAUAACAGUUAGAAAUGACUGCUAAUACCGCAUAAGCGCACGAGGACGCAUGUUCUUGUGUGAAAAACUCCGGUGGUACAGGAUGGGCCCGCGUCUGAUUAGGUAGUUGGUGGGGCAGCGGCCUACCAAGCCGACGAUCAGUAGCCGACCUGAGAGGGUGACCGGCCACAUUGGGACUGAGACACGGCCCAAACUCCUACGGGAGGCAGCAGUGGGGAAUAUUGCACAAUGGGGGAAACCCUGAUGCAGCGACGCCGCGUGAAGGAAGAAGUAUUUCGGUAUGUAAACUUCUAUCAGCAGGGAAGAAACUGACGGUACCUGACUAAGAAGCACCGGCUAAAUACGUGCCAGCAGCCGCGGUAAUACGUAUGGUGCAAGCGUUAUCCGGAUUUACUGGGUGUAAAGGGAGCGUAGACGGAGAGGCAAGUCUGAAGUGAAAGCCCGGGGCUCAACCCCGGGACUGCUUUGGAAACUGCAGUUCUAGAGUGCCGGAGAGGUAAGCGGAAUUCCUAGUGUAGCGGUGAAAUGCGUAGAUAUUAGGAGGAACACCAGUGGCGAAGGCGGCUUACUGGACGGUGACUGACGUUGAGGCUCGAAAG
Molecule: ribosomal RNA, 731 nt
Filed under: uncultured Lachnospiraceae bacterium
Lineage: Bacteria; Bacillati; Bacillota; Clostridia; Lachnospirales; Lachnospiraceae
Description: bacterial SSU rRNA
Rfam family: Bacterial small subunit ribosomal RNA
Source: RNAcentral